Molecule: ribosomal RNA, 928 nt
Filed under: Trichaptum abietinum
Lineage: Eukaryota; Fungi; Basidiomycota; Agaricomycetes; Hymenochaetales; Trichaptaceae
Description: Hirschioporus abietinus partial 28S ribosomal RNA
Rfam family: Eukaryotic large subunit ribosomal RNA
Source: RNAcentral
CUGACCUCAAAUCAGGUAGGACUACCCGCUGAACUUAAGCAUAUCAAUAAGCGGAGGAAAAGAAACUAACAAGGAUUCCCCUAGUAACUGCGAGUGAAGCGGGAAAAGCUCAAAUUUAAAAUCUGGCGGUUUCACCGUCCGAGUUGUAAUCUGGAGAAGCGUUUUCCGUGUCGGACCGUGCACAAGUCUCUUGGAACAGAGCGUCAUAGAGGGUGAGAAUCCCGUUUUAUGGCACGGACACCCGAUACUUUGUGAUACGUUUUCUAAGAGUCGAGUUGUUUGGGAAUGCAGCUCAAAAUGGGUGGUAAAUUCCAUCUAAAGCUAAAUAUAGGCGAGAGACCGAUAGCGAACAAGUACCGUGAGGGAAAGAUGAAAAGCACUUUGGAAAGAGAGUUAAACAGUACGUGAAAUUGUUGAAAGGGAAACGCUUGAAGUCAGUCGCGUCUUCUAGGACUCAGCCUUACUUCGGUUAGGUGUACUUCCUGGUUUGACGGGUCAACAUCGAUUUUGAUCGACGGAUAAAGGAGAAGGGAAUGUGGCACCUCCGGGUGUGUUAUAGCCCUCUUCGUAUACGUCGAUUGGGAUCGAGGACUGCAGCACGCCCUUGUGGCCGGGGGUUCGCCCUACGUAUCGUGCUUAGGAUGUUGACAUAAUGGCUUUAAGCGACCCGUCUUGAAACACGGACCAAGGAGUCUAACAUGCUCGCGAGUGUUAGGGUGGAAAACCCUUGCGCGUAAUGAAAGUGAAAGUUGGGACCUCUGCAAGGAGGGCACCGACGCCCGGCCCUGAAGUUCUCUGACGGUGCUGCGGUAGAGCGCGUAUGUUGGGACCCGAAAGAUGGUGAACUAUGCCUGAAUAGGGCGAACCAGAGGAAACUCUGGUGGAGGCUCGUAGCGAUUCUGACGUGCAAAUCGAUCGUCAAAUUUGG